RNAcentral lists this ribosomal RNA (497 nucleotides) under uncultured bacterium. Its description in RNAcentral is "partial 16S ribosomal RNA". It matches the Rfam family "Bacterial small subunit ribosomal RNA", at positions 28 to 507 of the family's 1533-position model. The record is from RNAcentral.
GAUGAACGCUGGCGGCGUGCCUAAUACAUGCAAGUCGAGCGAACGGACGAGAAGCUUGCUUCUCUGAUGUUAGCGGCGGACGGGUGAGUAACACGUGGAUAACCUACCUAUAAGACUGGGAUAACUUCGGGAAACCGGGGCUAAUACCGGAUGAUAUUUUGAACCGCAUGGUUCAAAAGUGAAAGACGGUCUUGCUGUCACUUAUAGAUGGAUCCGCGCUGCAUUAGCUAGUUGGUAAUGUAACGGCUUACCAAGGCAACGAUGCAUAGCCGACCUGAGAGGGUGAUCGGCCACACUGGAACUGAGACACGGUCCAGACUCCUACGGGAGGCAGCAGUAGGGAAUCUUCCGCAAUGGGCGAAAGCCUGACGGAGCAACGCCGCGUGAGUGAUGAAGGUCUUCGGAUCGUAAAACUCUGUUAUUAGGGAAGAACAUAUGUGUAAGUAACUGUGCACAUCUUGACGGUACCUAAUCAGAAAGCCACGGCUAACUACGUG